CCAAAAACAUAGCCCUUAAAAAAAUUAAAGGUGAAACCUGCCCAAUGAUUUAAUAAUUUACACUUAAAAGAUAAAUAAAAAAUUAAAUGGCUGCAGUAACCAUGACUGUAAAAAUGUAGCAUAAUAAUUCGCCACUUAAUUAGUGGAUAGUAUGAAUGGUUAAACGAAAAUUCCACUGUCUUAUAAAAUAUAAUAAAAAAUUUAAAUCAUAGUUAAGAUGCUAUGUAAAACUGUAAGACGAAAAGACCCUAUAAAGCUUAACUAUAAAUCUUAACACCUUAACAUUAAAACUAAUAAAAAUAAUUAAGAUUCGGUAGUUUCAUUGGGGCGAUGAUCUCUAAAAAUAAACAGAGAUAAACCAAUUUAAUAAUAAAAUUUACUGUAUAAUUAAUAAAUUUAACAGUUACAAAGUAGGGUAUAAUGACCCAUUAUUCUAAUUAAAAAAAAUAAUGAACAAUAAAUAAAAGCUACUUUAGGGAUAACAGGAUAAUAAUUUCUUAGAGACCCAAUCGAAGAAAAAGUUUAUCACCUCGAUGUUGAAUUAAGAUAACCUAAUGACGCAGCAGUAAUUAAAGGUAGGUC
Molecule: ribosomal RNA, 582 nt
Filed under: Lytocarpia phyteuma
Lineage: Eukaryota; Metazoa; Cnidaria; Hydrozoa; Leptothecata; Aglaopheniidae
Description: partial large subunit ribosomal RNA
Rfam family: Bacterial large subunit ribosomal RNA
Source: RNAcentral